AGGAUGGNCAUGCGUAUGAUUAGCUAGNUGGUNAGGUAACGGCUUACCAAGGCAACGAUCAUUAGGGGGUCUGAGAGGAUGAUCCCCCCACACUGGCACUGAGAUACGGGCCAGACUCNUACGGGAGGCAGCAGUAGGGAAUAUUGGGCAAUGGGCGAGAGCCUGACCCAGCCACGCCGCGUGAACGAAGAAGGUUUUUGGAUUGUAAAGUUCUUUUCUACGGGAAGAAAAAGGGAGAUGCGUCUCUCAAUUGCCGGUACCGUAGGAAUAAGCACCGGCUAACUACGUGCCAGCAGCCGCGGUAAUACGUAGGGUGCAAGCGUUGUCCGGAUUCACUGGGUUUAAAGGGUACGUAGGCGGUUCGUUAAGUCUGUGGUGAAAGUUUGUGGCUCAACCAUAAAAUUGCCAUGGAUACUGGCGAACUUGAGUAUCGGAGAGGAGAGUGGAAUUCGUAGUGUAGCGGUGAAAUGCAUAGAUACUACGAGGAACACCAAUUGUGAAGACAGCUCUCUGGCCGAUAACUGACGCUGAGGUACGAAAGCGUGGGUAGCGAACAGGAUUAGAUACCCUGGUAGUCCACGCCGUAAACGAUGGACACUCGGUGUAUGCACGUUAGUGCAUGUGCCUGAGCGAAAGCAUUAAGUGUCCCACCUGGGGAGUACGUUCGCAAGAAUGAAACUCAAAGGAAUUGACGGGGGUCCGCACAAGCGGUGGAGUAUGUGGUUUAAUUCGAUGAUACGCGAGGAACCUUACCUGGGCUUAACUCAAGCUGCAUCAUUCAGAGAUGAAUGAGCCUUCGAGGGAGCUUGAGAGGUGCUGCAUGGCCGUCGUCAGCUCGUGCCGUGAGGUGUUGGGUUAAGUCCCGCAACGAGCGCAACCCCUAUCUUUAGUUGCCAGCAAANNGNUGGUGGGGACUCUAGAGAGAC
RNAcentral lists this ribosomal RNA (926 nucleotides) under uncultured bacterium. Its description in RNAcentral is "bacterial SSU rRNA". It matches the Rfam family "Bacterial small subunit ribosomal RNA", at positions 222 to 1149 of the family's 1533-position model. The record is from RNAcentral.